GGGGAAGUUUUGAUCUCAUUUGAAAUCAUAUGUCCAUAAAAUCGCUUUAGUGCAGACUUCCCAUGUCAUGCCGUGCUGACUCUGUGUGAGAUCUGACAUUGUUCUUCACUCUUUAAUAAUGAGAGCUCAGGAGGGCAGGGAGAGGGGAAACAUAAACAAAAAUGUCAGCCUGAUUUUUAGCAUUGUACAAAUUUAACCCAAGUUGCCUGUGCCAAUCCUAAUCCCUCCUUUCAGGUUUGUCCUUUCCAUGUGGGUCAGUGGCAACUCAAUUCCUGAUACAUCAAAUCCAGAAACUUGCUGAGACCAUCAGUAUCUCUGGCAGUAUCACAUGGAGCAGAUGACACUUAUUUUGUCUGUGGUACAUGGCAAAUUUGUUCUCAGGAUCUGAAUUUUCUGUGGAUGUGGGAUCAGUGGCUUCCCUUCUCUGCUGCUCCCCUCAGUUGGAAGUGUGUUGCACUUUUAGGAAGUAUUAUUUCUCUUCACUUUAGCUUUAACCAUGUUGUUAGGUUUCUUUGCUUUUCCUGUAAGAUUGUUUUUCUCUUUCACCAGUGAUCUUAGCCAGUUCACAGUGCUGAUGGGAAUUUUUGCUCCUGCUAGUCUGCAGCACAUGUCCUUUCUAUAGUGUUUCUUUUCUUUCUGUGUAUUGUACAAAGCAGGUUUCACCUUUGAUAGCUAUUUUUUGUUUGCAAGGGGAACUGACAAGCUAUGUAUUUUCUUGGAGCUUUUCCUGCACAACCUUUUUUCUUCACCUUCUUGCCUUCUCUGUGUGGCACCAGUACUGGGAGCAGCAGAGCUGCCAAAUGAACUGGCAGAUGAGCUUUUGUAUUGUGUUUCAGCUAAGACCAGCCCUGCAUUCAUGAGAUAUUUCUGAGUUUAUAGGUGAAGUAAAAAUGCAAAUAUUGUAGAUAUUGCUUGUGGCACUGAUGAGGAGAACUGGUGUUGCUAAUAUGGGAGAGGAAUUGCAUUUCCAUGAGACGCUUGGGACUUUUUUCUGCUGGAUUAUUUCCUUUUCCAUACGAAAGAAAUGUUUAAGGGCCUACCCAUUCAAAUGCUGUGUAGGAACUUAUCCAGCCUACUUGCAAAAAGAGGGUGAUUGCAUCUACACUCAUUGAUAAUUUUCAAGGUAGAAUCCAUUGUGGUAGACUUGGUAGAACAUGAUCAGGAGGAAAGGCAGAGACAAAUUCUCUUUGGUGUAACCAUGGAUUUUAGACCCACAGUUUUCUUAUCAAAGCCAUGCUGGUGUGUGACAGAAGGAGUGAGAACCCCCUCCUGAUCCUGUGUAUGGGGCAUAUGCUUAUUAUUGUUGGCACAGCCUGAAGUCUGGUUGGAUUUGCUCCCCCUUUUUGCUCAGAUAUGCUUUUGGUGAUCAUACAUCCUACCCAUGAAUGCUAAAUGGUGGUUUGAUUCCACGUGUCAGCUGCUCCAUACUGAAAUGUGUUCAUCAGAAUUUCCAGUUUGGUCCCAGGGAGGCCUUCCUUACAGUUUUCUAAAUGAUGAAAAGUUAGUGUUAGAAGUGUUUCUACCCAUCCUUCUAAUCCACAGAAAAUAUGUGUUACAUUAAAGGAAAUAGUUCAACCUUAUUUGUUCUUUUUACUUUGUUUUUGUUUGAAGGGUGUUGAGCAUUCCAUCUAUGAGAGAACACAUUAUUGCUUCUAAACAUUAUUGCUGUUAUAAUACAGGAGAAGCAUAUCAGGACCCAUUCAUUAUUUAGCAGACUGGAAAAAUUUAAAAUAUAAGACAUCACUUGAGGCUGAAACUGCAGUCCAUCUGUCAGGAGACGUCUUGCUGCUGUAGGAGAGGUAAGGCGAUGCUGUGAUUUGGGAAACAGCAGGACUAUUACUUCCAGUGUCUGAGGCACAAUCCCAGUAUACAGGAGCCCACACCCUAAUUUUUUUGAGGUAGGCAACUCUUAAAGUUAUCUUCCUCUCUUUCCUUUGUUGGCCUUUUUACUACUUUUAGACAUCAGUUACCUUUGUAAUCCUUUUUUUUAUGGUUAUAUUUGCUAAAAAAUGCACCUGGUUUGGAUUCUCCACCUAAAUAACUUGACUGAGAACCUACAAUACUUGCUGUUCUCCCUCUUCUUCAAAGCUAGACUACAGUUAAUGAAAACUUGCAAGUGGUUUGUUUAAUACACUAUUAUUUUGUUUUUGAGAUUUUUUUCUCUUCUGCCUCUCAUCUUUGCAACCUGUGCAGCUUCCUUAUACUUCCUUGUAUUUCUUUAAACAUUAUGCAGAUAUAUAAUUUUUCUCCUAACUUAGACUUUGAACCCUUUGAAAUGAAAUCAAGUGAGUUUGCCUGUACUUGGUCGGAAGCUCAAUAGCUUCUACUGUUUUGCUGUGCAGGGAGUGCCAUAGCUGAUUAAAAUAGAUUUGAUCUUUUGUCUCUAGAUCAGCAGAUGAUUUUUAAUCUACAGCAGCAUCCCAAAGUUGUAAGGCAGCACUGCAUAUUUCCAUAGGAAAAAAAAAAGUAAUCACACCUGAUUGAGGCUGAUUUAGUUUUGUACAUCCUAGUGAAUAAGGCAGAACAAAUUUGCAGUGAGUCUGUGAGUGCAGCUAGGCUAUUCACUUUGCUCAAUUCUGCAUAAGCAGAGAAUAUAGAAAAAUCCAAAGUACUGACAAUUUCAUCCCUGUCUAAACCUAGGACUGAAUAUCAUAAGUGCAUAUCUGUAUCUAUCUAUCUAUCUAUAUAUGUAUAGAUGCAAUUCAGUACAUGUGCUCCAUCAAUUAUUACCUCAUAGGUUAUUAAUAUGAAUUUGAACUAUAAUACUAAAAUAUACAUGUGAUAAACAUUAGAUAAAAAUUAGACACAGGCAAAAAUGCCUUGCAGAAUUUGUGGUCUGAAUGACAAGAUUUACCCCAUAUGAAUGCCUACAGUGUUGUAACUUCAGCUCAUUCCUCAUCAGAUAGUUUAAGUUCAUUCAUGUCCUAAUAAGUGGUAACUGCCCUAGGAAGCCCUCUAAGCUUUCUAUAACCAGAUGUGCCACUAGUAAUCUUUCCAAAAUGUGAUGUCAAUGGAGCUGUAGCUGGUUAAAGGGCUAUGCAGGGCAAAAAGUGGUAUUAGUGGCUAAUAAAGGCUAAUUCUUCUGCAAGCAAAAUUAGCUCACUUCACAAGCUUGUUAUGACUUGAAGUGUCUGGCUGUUGAACUAUGCAUCUGGCUCAUUUGUUGCUCUCAAAGAGAUCCCCCCCUGACUGACAGCUGUAUUGGACUGGAAAAAAGUAGCCCAAAUGAGUGAGAACAAGAGGACUUCAGUUUGUAGGACUUUAGGACAGUAGCAAUCCAUGCCAACAACCUCCAUAAGGAAAAGAGAUGAACCCAACAAAGAAUGUGAGUGAUAGGGGGCUUGGCUCUGGGCACUAAAUUUCCUUAACUGAGCAGUUACUACUGCAGAACUUUGUGCUCACAGAUGCUGUAAUCGAUUCAUGUUAUACAACUACCUAAAAGACACAAAUGUCCAGUAACUGGUUGCAGCAACCCUAAAUAAUCACUAGAAACUUAAGUUCCAGUGAAUUCCAAAUAUUGUGCUGUGAUAAAGUGAUUAAAACAGCACCAGAAUAGCCUAAGCUUUUUGGACGUGUAUUUAUUUUUACUCACUGGUUUUCUGGGUUAAAUGCCACAUCAGAGUGUUUUUAUUACAAAGUUCCUGUUCCUGCUCAAUGCAGCUGUACCUAUUCUAAACUCCUUCAUCAAAGGCAACCAUUUCCUUUUUUUCUUAAUCUCACAUCAGUGUACCAAGAGCAGUUGUCCCUGGCUUCCUUAAGCUUGCCCUGCGGAAAAGCUUUCUUAAAAUCUUCCCUAUGUCCAUUCUUUCCUUUGCACAUGCUUAGAAAUGUGUGUGCAGGUGUAUAAACAUGGACACAUGCAUGUGCCUAUGCAUAUUUAAAUCAGUUUCUGCUUCAGCCUACAGCCUUGUGCAUGACCAGACUGGGAAAGGACUCCUGUAAAAGAUUGCUACCAAAAAGCAGCAAAAUGCUUGCGUCCUCAUGUGUAGGUACAUUUCAUGCUCUUCAGGAACUCCUGUCCUACAUAAGAAAAAUAAAACUUACAUCUGAGAUGCAUUAAUAACUGUUGUAAAGUAAGAAAGUAACUGUUGUAAGACUUAAAAUGCUGCCUCAAUACAUGUGGAUUCCUAGUGUCUGAAUCUGAUGCACAUCCCAGUGGCCCUACAGUGACCUUACUGUUGGCUGAUUCCAGAGAGCCACCUCAUUAUUCUGAGUUGAAAUUUCUCCAUCUCCAAAAUCAGAGGUAGAAUGCACAUAACAGUCCUGCUCUGACAGCAUAGGCCCAGGGACAUAAAGAAGAGCAAUUUUUCCAUUAUUGUAAACUGCAAAAAGUGUUCCCCAGUGAAAACCACAAUUUCACUUUGGUUUGAUGAGCAUGCCUUGAUGGCAUUGGGGUAGGUUUACCUUUUGAAAUUAUUGAAGAGUAGAAGUAGAUUGUGUACUGUUAGCAGGGAGCAAUGUAAUAUCAAAUUUCAAAUUUUGAAGUCAAAGUAUUUCAAAUUUUGCAGUCUAGAACUGGGGUUUUAUUAUAUUUUGAGGUUUCUCAUAAAAUGGUGGCCUUUCCAGUCAGCAGAGAUAAGUCUUGCCAGUGUUCUUUUGUCAGUUAACAAACUCAGUUAUUUAUAAACAAUCUUAGAAGAGUGACCUUUAAAGGGCGUGAGAUAUAAAUCAGCAAUCUCUUUUUCUAAUCACAGUCAAUGCACAGGUUCCAUUUGAGUUGUAAUGAAGAAGUUUGGAGCUGGAGACUACAAAUAUUUGAAGUAAUUUUGAUGUUAAUUUUUCAAAUUUCCAAGGUAUCUAAGAUGUAGCUAAUAAUAAUAGCGGGCGUUGUCUGUUUCUCCCAGCAUGUGGCAUGAAAGUGGUGUGGUCACAGAGCUAUGCAUUAUUUACAUGGUGUCAACACAUCAGCAAGUGGUAUGGCAGAGAGCCAGAUUAAAUCACUUCUGAUUUUAAAUACAGGACACUGAAUAAUUAUGUUGUGUCACACUUGAGGACACUGGAAUCUGGCAAAUCAGCAGCAGCUUAGUGUGUCAGGUUCAUUUGGAUGGCUUCUUCCCUUCCUGAAUGAUCACAGAAUCAAAAUCAAUGUUCAAGGAAACUGUAUAAAGUUGGAAUUGUUUUAUUUCCUUCCAAAGCAAAAGAUUGUACCCAGGAAACAGACACUUUUUGUUUGCUUUCUAUAAAGAUGUGUCAUGAGGUCACUGCCCUCAUGCAGGAAUGUUUGCAUCUGAGAAUGGGCAAUGGUGCAUGCAUGGUGCAUGUUUGCCAUUAAUCUUUGCUGUCUCUGUAAGUAGCAAGGUAUGAUUAAUUUCAUACAUUUGUUUUUUGCAGAACCUACUGCAACAGGUCUGCCAUCUCAAACAGGAAGUGUAUUUUUAGAGACAAUCACAUUAUGUAGAAUAAGGGCGUCAAGGAUUUGAGGUCUUCCAAGAAAAUCUUGGGUGCUGCUCUCAACCAUUGCUUCUGCACCAGCUCUGAUUUCUGUAUAACCCCUGGAGCUGGUAGGAAAAUAAUUUAGCAAAAUAAAAACAUAGAUAGCUUUCUGUUGGUUUAGUAAUCUAAUUAAAUUCAUCAUGGAGCCAUGUGAAAAUCAGAAAGUGGAAGGGAAGGGUUGGGCCUGCAUGUCAGGGAAGAAAGGAGAAAGGAUGCAUGGGAAGUGAAGGGAGCAGAACCAUUAGAUGGAUUUUACCAUAUUGUGAAAGCUCACCCUAGAAUAUUUAAUGGUCAGGCAGGGAGCUUUUAGAAGGUUAAAAGAAGCAUCCAAAAUACUGGGAUUCAUUUUGCCUUGACACCAUAAUACCCUUUUUAUGAAGCUAGAAAUAUGUAUGCUCAUGAAAACCCUUUGCUUUUUUUAUUUUAAAAUAUAAUGCAAACAUUGGAGUCUGUGCACAGUUCUUUCAAGUUAAAUGCUUAGUUCAACAUUCCACUUCUAUUUCCUGGUAGAAAAUGUUUUAUAUGAAAGCAACUUUAACCUUUCAGAAGGGUUCAUUUACUGUUACGUUUGGUAUCAGCUUUCCAAAAAAAUGCAGUCUGCGUUUGGCAUAUUACAGAUUCUGGUUUUAAUAGUGGUUUAGGGAAAAAAAGUCAUAUGGCAUAAUUCAGAAAUAAAAUACUGCAACAGAAUUCUCUCUAUACAUGAAUGCACCCCAUGAGCGAGUGGUUUAAAGUCAGCUUGAUCACUUAAAACCAAGGCAUGGGCUCAAGCUAUCUAUGAACCAGCUGGUAACAAAUAACACAUUUAACUCUCAGCCACAGGAAACUGUUAGGUUGCCUUUUUAUAGACAACUACAGCUCUACAGCUCCUGAAGCACAAGGGAAUUUCAUAUGGACUUGGAAAGAAUUGAACACCUACCAUAUGCACAUAAGGAAGGGUAAUAAAGAUGAAAGGCCAGAACUGAGCUUUAAUUUCUAUUUUUCUUCUUUUGAUUUAUCAUCUGCUUCUGCAUUGCUACAAUUUUCUUUGGCCUAAAAUUAGGGAGAAGAUGCUUGAAUUGCUUAGUUUGAUCAAAUCAGUCAAACUUAGGCUUCCAUCUCACCAGUGUAACAGAUGCUAAACAUGAAACCUUAAAGUACAUUCUUGCUUUUUUUAUGUCUUUAUUGCGCAUUCAUUUCUGAAGUGCUGACUGCUGUAACAAUCCCCUGUGGUGGGCAGUUCCUGGCCAUGGGUGGCUGUAGUCAUGGUGAGAUGGGCAUUGAGCUGGUAGAGCUGUAUCAAUGUAUUCAGCAGUAUGACUCUGAACUAGAGCAAGGGCUGACUCCUUGGGUGCAGGGCCAUAUAAACAUAUCUGAGUCUCCUCUGGGACCUCAGCAGCUCCUCUGCAAGUGCUUCAGGACUAUCUCAGCUGUCAGGUUGGCUCAGGAGUCACUGUACCAUGGUUCAUUGCCAUGUACGGAUGUAUUCUGGGAGUUAUCCUCCACAGGAAUUCUGCUGUCAAUAACCACUUCUUACAGAAGAAAAGGACCUUCAGACAGGCCUGGCCAUGAGUGAGACAAUAAAGGCUAAUCCUCUGUGCUGCUGAGCCUCAGCUUCUAAUAAAGGACUCAGAACUUGUAAGCGUAAAGCUUCAAAGUAAGUACAGAUUUGCAGAGGGAGGGCAGAUAAGGGGGUUGUAGCCCACCCAUCAAGACCACCUGGUCUUAAUAAAUGGUAGCAGUCAGCCUUUGUGCCACAUGCUCAUUCCAUAUCCUACUCGUCUUCCAGGGAGUGAGAUUUCCGAGAGUGCUGCUGACAAUGUAUGUAUCAAAGUCGGGUGCACUGCAGAGUCUGCCAGUCACACACAAUGGUUUUUGUCAUUCCUGGAACUGCAGCAGCUGAAUCUGACCAUGAUGGUCAGAGGCUGAACCUCAGUAAAAUAACACUUAGGAUAUUUAAUAUCUGAUGAUGAAUGCACGUCCAAUGCUUUGAAGAUGGAAAAAUCUGCAGAAAUGCAGACUAUUAUUUUAUCUGGAAAUGUGUUCUGUGGCAUCCCGAAGAGUAUUCACAUUUCUUAUUCCUUUUUUGUGCAUGUGCAGCUCUCAUGAACUUUCAGCUAUGAAUCCGUAUGGGAAUAAUUUCAUUGUGAGAAGGUGGCUUCCAUUCUGUCCUGAAAAAAGCUGCAUGAAAAUCACAGAAAGCUACAGAAGAAAGUACCAAUCAUUGUUUGAAAGCAUUGUGGCCUAUGGAGAUGGAAAACAGAACAUGGAUUUGCCUCCAAAUUUUAUAAGCUUCUAGAAACAUGAAUGAAUGAGAAACAAAUGCAAAAAUUUGCUUUAAAAAAAGUCAUAAAACUUUGUUGCUUUUACAAUGAACAGACCUGGCAAAAAGAACGUUAAUUAUCUUGAGUAUCAGUGUUUAAACAGGUAGUGCUAUUCCCAGGAUUUUUUUGUUGCCAGCUCCUCAGUUACUCCUCAAUUGCUACAUUGAAGUUAUCAGCCACUGGAACAAAUUAUGAAGAGGAGCAGUGAGUUUACCAUUUCUUGAAAUCUGCAAACUGAGAGGGGUUGGUAUGCCUUAGCACACAAUGGAUACACAGCUGGGUGAAAUUAUAUUGUUGCGCUACAGAGAAGUUCAUUAAAUAUCCUAUGUGGUCCUUUCUAGCUUUAAGAGCCAUAGUCUGUGUUUCACAAAGACCCUACAAAGAACUCUUAGAAGUACUGAUAACCACAGCACUAAUCUGAAUGCAUCUUCUGAUUUUGGGUUGAUUAUGCCAAAUUAUUUUAAAAAUUACAGACUGUAAUGUUUCUACAUGUUUCUGUCACAGCAACUCAUAUUACUAGCAUUGUUUUACAAUACUGGAAAUAUGGUUUUGGGGACUAAGGAGACCCUUCCUCUUCCCAGAAGAGCAGAAUGUACUUUAGUUCAUGAAAGUGUGUAUAAACAAGUAAACAUACAGGCUGCUGCUUCCCUACCUGAUCUAUUAUAGUCAAUAAAAUCAAUAAACUAGGCUCAUUCA
This is a non-coding RNA of Taeniopygia guttata (zebra finch), 8432 nucleotides long. NCBI's taxonomy places the organism in Eukaryota, Metazoa, Chordata, Aves, Passeriformes, Estrildidae. The record is from RefSeq and is a predicted model, not a curated record.